GACGAACGCUGGCGGCGUGCCUAAUACAUGCAAGUAGAACGCUGAAGGAGGAGCUUGCUUCUCUGGAUGAGUUGCGAACGGGUGAGUAACGCGUAGGUAACCUGCCUGGUAGCGGGGGAUAACUAUUGGAAACGAUAGCUAAUACCGCAUAAGAGUAGAUGUUGCAUGACAUUUGCUUAAAAGGUGCAAUUGCAUCACUACCAGAUGGACCUGCGUUGUAUUAGCUAGUUGGUGGGGUAACGGCUCACCAAGGCGACGAUACAUAGCCGACCUGAGAGGGGGAUCGGCCACACUGGGACUGAGACACGGCCCAGACUCCUACGGGAGGCAGCAGUAGGGAAUCUUCGGCAAUGGACGGAAGUCUGACCGAGCAACGCCGCGUGAGUGAAGAAGGUUUUCGGAUCGUAAAGCUCUGUUGUAAGAGAAGAACGAGUGUGAGAGUGGAAAGUUCGCACUGUGACGGUAGCUUACCAGAAAGGGACGGCUAACUACGUG
RNAcentral lists this ribosomal RNA (495 nucleotides) under uncultured bacterium. RNAcentral's name for it is "partial 16S ribosomal RNA". It matches the Rfam family "Bacterial small subunit ribosomal RNA", at positions 28 to 507 of the family's 1533-position model. The record is from RNAcentral.